AAACCAUUGUGUGGACAAUCCUUGACCAACCUUUUAAACCUCGCCCAGGAAUCGCUGAGAAAUUCGCCCAUGUCUUGUUCAAAAUUUGUGAUGAGUUUCCUUAGUCU
This is a small nucleolar RNA of Benincasa hispida (wax gourd), 107 nucleotides long. The record is from RefSeq and is a predicted model, not a curated record. Lineage: Eukaryota; Viridiplantae; Streptophyta; Magnoliopsida; Cucurbitales; Cucurbitaceae.